CCUACGGGACGCAGCAGUGGGGAAUAUUGCACAAUGGAGGAAACUCUGAUGCAGCAACGCCGCGUGAGUGAAGAAGUAUUUCGGUAUGUAAAGCUCUAUCAGCAGGGAAGAAGAUGACGGUACCUGAGUAAGAAGCCCCGGCUAACUACGUGCCAGCAGCCGCGGUAAUACGUAGGGGGCAAGCGUUAUCCGGAUUUACUGGGUGUAAAGGGAGCGCAGGCGGUGGGACAAGUCUGAAGUGAAAGCCCGGGGCUCAACCUCGGGACUGCUUUGGAAACUGCCUGACUGGAGAGCUGGAGAGGCAAGCGGAAUUCAUGGUGUAGCGGUGAAAUGCGUAGAUAUUAUGAAGAACACCGGUGGCGAAGGCAGCUUAC
This 374-nucleotide ribosomal RNA is filed under the name uncultured bacterium. RNAcentral's name for it is "partial 16S ribosomal RNA". It matches the Rfam family "Bacterial small subunit ribosomal RNA", at positions 338 to 729 of the family's 1533-position model. The record is from RNAcentral.